UCAGAAAUUGCCACAGCCACUCCAACCUUUAGCAACCACCACCCUGGUCAGUGAGCAGCCAACCAUUGAAGAUGAGUAAACAGAGGCUGGAAGUGGCGAUCUGACUCACCCAAAUUGACAGUUAUUAAUAAAUAUAUUAAGGAGAAGAAAAUAAAGAUAAUAAAAGAGGUAUGAACGGGAUGCUGUGUGACUAUCAAAAGGUGAAGAUGGAGACAUUGGAGAAGCCUUCAUGGAAGAGACACAUGUGACAUUUGGUGCCAAAGACCCGGGACAGGAGGACUCCUUCAGGAGACUGGCCCCCUGUCCUUGCCCUCAUUCUGUGAGGAGAUCCACCUACAACAUCAGGUCCUCAGACCAAGCAGCCCAAGGAAU
RNAcentral lists this long non-coding RNA (372 nucleotides) under Homo sapiens (human). Its description in RNAcentral is "HSALNT0046626". The record is from RNAcentral. Lineage: Eukaryota; Metazoa; Chordata; Mammalia; Primates; Hominidae.